RNAcentral lists this ribosomal RNA (468 nucleotides) under uncultured bacterium. RNAcentral's name for it is "partial 16S ribosomal RNA". It matches the Rfam family "Bacterial small subunit ribosomal RNA", at positions 28 to 507 of the family's 1533-position model. The record is from RNAcentral.
GACGAACGCUGGCGGCGUGCUUAACACAUGCAAGUCGAACGGAAAGGCCCUGCUUUUGUGGGGUGCUCGAGUGGCGAACGGGUGAGUAACACGUGAGUAACCUGCCCUUGACUUUGGGAUAACUUCAGGAAACUGGGGCUAAUACCGGAUAGGAGCUCCUGCUGCAUGGUGGGGGUUGGAAAGUUUCGGCGGUUGGGGAUGGACUCGCGGCUUAUCAGCUUGUUGGUGGGGUAGUGGCUUACCAAGGCUUUGACGGGUAGCCGGCCUGAGAGGGUGACCGGCAAGAUUGGGACUGAGAUACGGCCCAGACUCCUACGGGAGGCAGCAGUGGGGAAUAUUGCACAAUGGGCGGAAGCCUGAUGCAGCAACGCCGCGUGCGGGAUGACGGCCUUCGGGUUGUAAACCGCUUUCGCCUGUGACGAAGCGUGAGUGACGGUAAUGGGUAAAGAAGCACCGGCUAACUACGUG